RNAcentral lists this ribosomal RNA (719 nucleotides) under Scaphiophryne marmorata (marbled rain frog). RNAcentral describes it as "partial 16S ribosomal RNA". It matches the Rfam family "Bacterial large subunit ribosomal RNA", at positions 1838 to 2836 of the family's 2925-position model. The record is from RNAcentral. Lineage: Eukaryota; Metazoa; Chordata; Amphibia; Anura; Microhylidae.
AAUAACUAUAGGAGGUCCAGCCUGCCCAGUGACAAAGUUAAACGGCCGCGGUACCCUAACCGUGCGAAGGUAGCGCAAUCACUUGUUCUUUAAAUGAGGACUAGUAUGAAUGGCAUCACGAGGGUUAUACUGUCUCCCUCUUUCAAUCAGUGAAACUGAUCUUCCCGUGAAGAAGCGGGAAUACAUCUAUAAGACGAGAAGACCCCAUGGAGCUUAAAACUCAGUAUCAACUACUAUACUAAUUUAUCCUCUUAAUUAAGCAGAUCUGACUACUAGUUUUCGGUUGGGGUGACCGCGGAGCAAAACAAAACCUCCACGAUGAAAGGAACUAACCUCCUAAUCAAAGAGCUACCUCUCUAAGAAUCAACAAAUUGACAUUUAUUGAUCCAACUUUUUUGAUCAACGAACCAAGUUACCCUGGGGAUAACAGCGCAAUCCAUUUCAAGAGCCCCUAUCGACAAAUGGGUUUACGACCUCGAUGUUGGAUCAGGGUAUCCCAGUGGUGCAGCCGCUACUAAAGGUUCGUUUGUUCAACGAUUAAAACCCUACGUGAUCUGAGUUCAGACCGGAGUAAUCCAGGUCGGUUUCUAUCUAUAAAGAGUUCCCCCUAGUACGAAAGGACCGGGGUAACAUGGCCUAUAUCUUAACAAGCCAUAGCUGCUAACUAAUGACCUCAACUCAAUUAGUGUUAGCCUACCAAUUAUCUCAAGAUAAGAAAU